GUGAGCCAAGCCGGGGUAGGGGUGGGUGAGUGUGGGACAGGUGCUGAGGUUGGCCCUCGAAUCAGGUUAAGCAUGUCCUCAGAGGCCUGGUUGCGUGCCCUCACUGCCCCAUGAGUCCCACAUCACAGUCCCUGCCCUCAUUCCUUCUCCGCUCGUGCAAGUAGACCACCUUGUGUCCGUGACAGCCCAUCUUGCACCAGGAUAGUGUCAGCUCUGCAUUGGGGUUUCUGGUGAAUGCGUCACAGCCCCUCACCCAUGACAUCUAGAUGACCUCACCUUGUUAAUGGACACAUCUGUGUGUGUGAUUCUACAGAAUGAGGACACACACUUUACUCUUCCCAGAGGGAGGGGCAUCUAGGUGGUUUCCCGUCUUUUGCUAUUGUAGAUAAUGCCACAAAUACAACCAACUUUUGAUUGCAAGUUACAGGAACCUACUCCAACAAGCUAAGCAACAGGGAUGCGAAGCCCUAGAACCAGGGGGAAGGUGGGCACCGGACCCCCUGCUGCUCCUCCCUUCCCUCCCCUGCCCCUUCACCUCUUCCUCCCUCUCUGAACAAGGAAGCCUCUGAGGCCAGGCUGGCAGAGUGGACCACUGAAGCACGGGUGAGUCCAGGCAGGUCAGACUUGGGAAGUGAACCUCCUAGGGACACUGGGGAUCCUGAAGCAGGAAGGACUGACCUAAUUUGAUCUGGCCCAGGACAGUUCCCUUCCAGAAAGAGGGGGCACUCACUGAGACCCCUGAGAACAAGUCAGGCCAGAGGAAGGCUGGGUCAGUAUCUAGAUGGACACGAGGCCUGGCCGGGUGAGAAUGGGGGCUCCUGGAGGACAGGCUGAGGUGUGAGUGGGCACCUUCUGGUGGAGCAUGGCCAGGGCCUCCUGAAGAGUGUCCUGUGAUCAUACCCAGCGACCACACCAGGGGUGCUGGGCAGGACGACCCGUGGUGGGUACUUGGGGCUGUGCCCCAGCCGAGCUGCCUGCCUCCCUGCCUCCUGUUCUGAUAGAUCCUAAGCCAGGCAGGCCGCUGGUGUCUGUGUCCAUACAACCAGGGCUUUUAUUGCAGCCCAGCAUGGUCAAGGCGUUGACUGGCCUGGACCAGGGAUCCCAACAAGGAAGAGGCCCAGAUGCUGGGCGGUGAGGAGGUGGGGUGCUGGUCAGGACAGGCUGUGCCCUCUGCCCUCAGCAGCCGAGAAGCAGGGAGGCCUGAGGCCCAGGAGGCAGGGCCUGCCCCCGGGAAGGUUGUAGCUUGUAUAGCCCUCAGCACAGUUUCAGGAGAUCUCAAGGAGAAGGUGACCCUGCCUGACCUCGCCUGGGGCAGACAGGUCAGCAAUGCUCUGGGGGCUAGGGCCAGAGCCCAGGGCCCUGAGAAGCUGCAGAGACCUCCCAGAGGCCAGUGCCUGGGCCUGGCGGGGCAGCCUCGUUAGGAAGGCCCACCUCAAGCUGGC
Molecule: long non-coding RNA, 1442 nt
Filed under: Equus asinus (donkey)
Lineage: Eukaryota; Metazoa; Chordata; Mammalia; Perissodactyla; Equidae
Description: lncRNA (ENSEASG00005028942.1)
Source: RNAcentral